RNAcentral lists this ribosomal RNA (441 nucleotides) under uncultured bacterium. RNAcentral describes it as "bacterial SSU rRNA". It matches the Rfam family "Bacterial small subunit ribosomal RNA", at positions 957 to 1375 of the family's 1533-position model. The record is from RNAcentral.
GAACGCGAAGAACCUUACCCGGGUUUGACAUGCUUGGAUGCCCUUUGGGGAUAACUCAGAUGGGCUGCCCUUCGGGGUGAAACUUGCACAGGUGUUGCAUGGCUGUCGUCAGCUCGUGCUGUGAAGUGUCGGGUUAAGUCCCUUAACGAGCGAAACCCCUGUCGCUAGUUGCCAGCGCGUUAUGGCGGGGACUCUAGCGAGACUGCCGGCGUUAAGCCGGAGGAAGGUGGGGACGACGUCAAGUCAUCAUGGCCUUUAUGCCCGGGGAUGCACACGUGCUACAAUGGCGUGCACAGAGCGAUGCGAGGACCGCGAGGUGGAGCAAAUCGCAAAAAACACGCCCCAGUUCGGGAUUGGAGUCUGCAAUUCGACUCCAUGAAGUUGGGAAUCGCUAGUAAUCGCGCAUCAGCCACGGGGGCGGUUAAUGUGGUGCCUGAGGCC